Molecule: ribosomal RNA, 629 nt
Filed under: Tricholoma argenteum
Lineage: Eukaryota; Fungi; Basidiomycota; Agaricomycetes; Agaricales; Tricholomataceae
Description: eukaryotic LSU rRNA
Rfam family: 5.8S ribosomal RNA (bases 227-380)
Source: RNAcentral
GGNUUGCUGCUGGCCCUUUGGGGCAUGUGCACACCCGACACCAACUUUUCUUACCACCUGUGAACUUUUUGUGGACUUGGAAUACCUUUCCGAGGCAACUCGGUUUUGAGGAUUGCUGUGCAUAAGCCAGCUUUCCUUAUACUUUCCUGUCUAUGUUUUUAAUAUCCUCCUAAUUGCAUGUUUUUUAUAUAUAAAAAUAGGGCUUGAUUGCCUUUUAAACUUAUACAACUUUCAACAACGGAUCUCUUGGCUCUCGCAUCGAUGAAGAACGCAGCGAAAUGCGAUAAGUAAUGUGAAUUGCAGAAUUCAGUGAAUCAUCGAAUCUUUGAACGCACCUUGCGCUCCUUGGUAUUCCGAGGAGCAUGCUUGUUUGAGUGUCAUGAAAUUCUCAAGCUUGUAAGCUUUUACUAGCUGAUCAGGCUUGGAUGUGGGAGUUUGCGGGCUUCUCGAGAAAGUUGGCUCUCCUUAAAUUCAUUAGCGGGACCUUUUUGGUUGCUCCGGCCUUUGGUGUGAUAAUUGUUUACGCUAUUGUUGGAGUGAUUUGGGUGCAGCUUCUAAUUGUCUUUGAGACAAUCUACAUGACAAUUUGACCUCAAAUCAAGUAGGACUACCCGCUGAACUUAAGCAUA